GCCUGUAGGCUUGGUUCAAGUAAACCCAGCUCUGGUGGAAGUGCUGAAAUAUUGUUGUCUGACAGGUCAAGCUCAGUAAGAGAAGUAAGAGUUUUGAAACCCUCUGGGAUUGAUUGUAAAGCAUUUUGGCUCAAGUCGAGGAUUCGCAGUUGUUGUAAGCUCAAUAUAUCUGACGGUACCUCAUGCAAUCGCACAUGUCUUAGGUAAAGCUCUUGCAAAUGAGGCAAGUUAGAAAAUGCUGAAUGGUCAGGUAAUGAAGAUGGAUUACCACUUAGAUCCAGAAUCUGAAGCAUUGAGACUGCUUGAAAUCCGUCCGAUGGAAUCUGUCUCAGUGGAUUAUUGUCCAGCUUCAAACAUGAAAGAUUAGAAAGUGAUUUCAGAAUUGCACCAGGCCACUCUUGGAUCUUGUUCCUGGAUAAAAUCAAAAUCUGGAGGGAAACACAUGAAGAAAGUUCAACAGGCAGCUCUUGGAUAGAAUUCCUAGAAAGAUUGACUUUUACAACUUCACCUGAAUCCCAUACUUCUGAUGGGACAACACUCAGACCCAUCCCUUCUAGAGUAAGUUCCUUGGAACUAACAGAUUCUCGAGCUGCCAUGGCAAUAACAAUCUCCUUUGCUGGAGUAGCAGCUUCAGAAUCUUCAGCUUCAGAAAGUCUACUUCGAAGAUACUUCAAUAAAACAGGCGUAGGUCCAGAAACCAAUGAGCUGCGUAUGGUUCGCAAUGGAUUGCCAGUAAGCAACAGUUUUCUCAAAGUUGUCAUCUUUCCAAUCUCUGAGGGCAAUCCACUCAAUGAAUUAUUUGAAAGAUCCAGGACUGAAAGACGUAAUUUGCAUGCCUCCAUGGGAAAUUCCUUCAGCUGGUUUGAGUGAAGAUCUAGUGUUGCUAAGCGACAAAGUUCCCCAAUCUCUGCUGGUAAAGUAGAAAGUGAAUUGUUCCCCAUAUAAAAUUCCAAAAGGGAACAGCAACCCCUUAUUGAUGGCGGGAUUGAUGAAAUUCUGUUUUGAUGCACGUCAAGACGAAUGAGUCGUGAAAGGCUUCCAAAGUUAUCUGGUACAACAGUGAGAAAGUUCUUCGAUGCAUUAAGUUCUGUAAGCAUGGUCCACGAUGCCAUCAAAUUCCCAGAAAAACUAUUUAGCUUGUUUCCCUCGAAAUCUACUUUCGUCAAUUUUGAACAUUUUGCUAGAUCUUCAGGCAAGCUGGUGAUUAAGUUGUUUGACACCUUCAAUUCAGAUAAAUCUAAACAUCCUCCGAGUGAACCUGGGAGUUCCUUAAGUUGAUUGCUCGAACA
RNAcentral lists this unclassified non-coding RNA (1289 nucleotides) under Hevea brasiliensis (rubber tree). Lineage: Eukaryota; Viridiplantae; Streptophyta; Magnoliopsida; Malpighiales; Euphorbiaceae. The record is from RNAcentral.